UUUUGGGCGAUGUCCGGGCCAAAUUUGUAACGGUGGAUCACAUUUCAUCGCGUAUGUAAGAAGGAGACACCGGAGAAGAGACCGUCGUUGUAUCAGACGGACGGGUUGUUAGCCGAAAUCCACAUGCACAUGAACAGCUAUGAUAGCGGGCGUUUUGAAGCAUUGCAAUUGGGAAUAUUCCUGCAAUGUCUUUGUAACGGUGGAUUGGAUAUCCACGAUGUUUUCCCUUUCAAAGCGACGUAGCCUCUGUUGAAGGUAAAAUUAUAUAUCUUCAGUACAUGAAGUGUCAAUCUGGUGACCUGUACUCCUGGCCUGAUGGCGAGGCACAAUUCUACCUGUAUCUAUUUUGUGACAUUGACAGAGUCCUCUUCCACACAGUUGUCAUUGGGUCACCGAUCAUCUUGAAGUUCAUAAACUUGUAACCUGAAUGCAGAGAGAAAUAUUGCAUGUUAUUUCUUAUUGUCAGGUUUAGUGUACAGUGUAAUACUUUUUUUGCAUUUGCCAGUAAGAAGUUUACCAUAGAGUUUUUAACCAAAGGAAAAGAUUGUAGUUUGCAGUGUUAUUCUUGAACAUUUAUUAGAAUAGCUUAGUAGAAAUAGUACAUUUUACUUUCUUGUUCACGACUCUAUGUUCAAACAACAGAUGUAAGUUUUUUUUUAUUCAAUUUGUCCACUAAGUACUUUACAAUUGUCCUUUUGGCAUGCUGGAACUUACUGUUUUAUCCAAUGCAUUUAUUCCAGUGAUGACAUGAUUAUAUUUUAAUUAAUGUCACUUAGAACUACAUUACCAUGUACAUGUAACUGAGGUAAAAUAAGUUAGAGUAAACAAAUUGAACAAGUUAUAUGUGUAAGGUAUUAAUACAUUGUCCAUGAAUUGCAUGCCAACUUUGUGUUGUUUUGUCUUGAAAAACCAUACAUGUAGCUUAGAAGAACUAAACUAGUACCUUUUCCUACAUAUUUUUCACCCGAGUAUUGUAUCAAAGGUAUCAAAAUUAUAAUCGUGUACAUGUAUGAAUAAAAAAAAACAUUUUACCUGUUCAUUGAUGCAUUUUAGAAGCUUGCCUGUAGAUGUUGUAUUUCUACACUUGAGUAAGAUGAGUUAACUCGCAUUAGUGUGUUGAUACUAAAAGAAUGGCAAGUACAUGUAAUACUAUUCAAUAUGAUCAUUACAAGGACAUGAUGUCCAUGUAACGGAGGUAUGUACAUUUGAAAGUAAUAUCGUGAAGGAGAUAUUUUAAAGUAAUAAAGAUUUGGAGAUCAUAAGCUAGCACUCUUUUGUUUUUUCCCCUUUAGACAGAAACAUUUGUUUCCAGAGAUAGACGGAAGUGGAACCUUGAGGAUUACCUUAGUAUUAUUUUAAAUAUAAAUUUAUCAAUAAUUUUGUACAUUUUUCCUUGUUUAAACUCUAAUCUAAAUUGCUUUUAUUUGCAAAGAAUUUGACAUGAAAAAUGUUUUUUAGUAUAAUCAAUUGAUCUUGUGCAAAUAUUCUAAGGCAUGAAGUGGAAUUUGGUGUGUAAUGGCCAUUAAUGGACAUUAACUUAACAUUGCUUCUAAGUAUACCUCUGUUACUGAGACAUGAUGUCCAUGUAACGGUGGUAACACUAAAAAUAGAAGGUUAUGCCAGAAAGAGUAGUUUAGUUUUUCCAAAGAGAAUAAUCCAUUCUGUUGAGGCAUGACUUCUCUCAACUAUUUAGUUCUACAUGCCAUCAUAAAUUCAAUUUUCUAGA
Long non-coding RNA from Lytechinus variegatus (green sea urchin), 1726 nucleotides. RefSeq lists it as uncharacterized. The transcript is spliced from 2 exons. NCBI's taxonomy places the organism in Eukaryota, Metazoa, Echinodermata, Echinoidea, Temnopleuroida, Toxopneustidae. The record is from RefSeq and is a predicted model, not a curated record.